GGGUUGUGAGGUUAAGCGACUAAGCGUACACGGUGGAUGCCCUGGCAGUCAGAGGCGAUGAAGGACGUGCUAAUCUGCGAAAAGCGUCGGUAAGGUGAUAUGAACCGUUAUAACCGGCGAUGUCCGAAUGGGGAAACCCAGUGUGAUUCGUCACACUAUCGUUAACUGAAUACAUAGGUUAACGAGGCGAACCGGGGGAACUGAAACAUCUAAGUACCCCGAGGAAAAGAAAUCAACCGAGAUUCCCCCAGUAGCGGCGAGCGAACGGGGAGCAGCCCAGAGUCUGAAUCAGCUUGUGUGUUAGUGGAACGGUCUGGAAAGUCCGACGGUACAGGGUGAUAGUCCCGUACACCAAAAUGCACAGGCUGUGAACUCGAAGAGUAGGGCGGGACACGUGGUAUCCUGUCUGAAUAUGGGGGGACCAUCCUCCAAGGCUAAAUACUCCUGACUGACCGAUAGUGAACCAGUACCGUGAGGGAAAGGCGAAAAGAACCCCGGCGAGGGGAGUGAAAAAGAACCUGAAACCGUGUACGUACAAGCAGUGGGAGCACCUUCGGGUGUGACUGCGUACCUUUUGUAUAAUGGGUCAGCGACUUAUAUUCUGUAGCAAGGUUAACCGUAUAGGGGAGCCGCAGGGAAACCGAGUCUUAACUGGGCGUUAAGUUGCAGGGUAUAGACCCGAAACCCGGUGAUCUAGCCAUGGGCAGGUUGAAGGUUGGGUAACACUAACUGGAGGACCGAACCGACUAAUGUUGAAAAAUUAGCGGAUGACUUGUGGCUGGGGGUGAAAGGCCAAUCAAACCGGGAGAUAGCUGGUUCUCCCCGAAAGCUAUUUAGGUAGCGCCUCGUGAACUCAUCUUCGGGGGUAGAGCACUGUUUCGGCUAGGGGGUCAUCCCGACUUACCAACCCGAUGCAAACUACGAAUACCGAAGAAUGUUAUCACGGGAGACACACGGCGGGUGCUAACGUCCGUCGUGAAGAGGGAAACAACCCAGACCGCCAGCUAAGGUCCCAAAGUCAUGGUUAAGUGGGAAACGAUGUGGGAAGGCACAGACAGCCAGGAUGUUGGCUUAGAAGCAGCCAUCAUUUAAAGAAAGCGUAAUAGCUCACUGGUCGAGUCGGCCUGCGCGGAAGAUGUAACGGGGCUAAACCAUGCACCGAAGCUGCGGCAGCGACACUAUGUGUUGUUGGGUAGGGGAGCGUUCUGUAAGCCUGCGAAGGUGUGCUGUGAGGCAUGCUGGAGGUAUCAGAAGUGCGAAUGCUGACAUAAGUAACGAUAAAGCGGGUGAAAAGCCCGCUCGCCGGAAGACCAAGGGUUCCUGUCCAACGUUAAUCGGGGCAGGGUGAGUCGACCCCUAAGGCGAGGCCGAAAGGCGUAGUCGAUGGGAAACAGGUUAAUAUUCCUGUACUUGGUGUUACUGCGAAGGGGGGACGGAGAAGGCUAUGUUAGCCGGGCGACGGUUGUCCCGGUUUAAGCAUGUAGGCUGGUUAUCCAGGCAAAUCCGGAUAAUCAAGGCUGAGGUGUGAUGACGAGGCACUACGGUGCUGAAGUAACAAAUGCCCUGCUUCCAGGAAAAGCCUCUAAGCAUCAGGUAACAUCAAAUCGUACCCCAAACCGACACAGGUGGUCAGGUAGAGAAUACCAAGGCGCUUGAGAGAACUCGGGUGAAGGAACUAGGCAAAAUGGUGCCGUAACUUCGGGAGAAGGCACGCUGGUGUGUAGGUGAAGUCCCUGCGGAUGGAGCUGAGACCAGUCGAAGAUACCAGCUGGCUGCAACUGUUUAUUAAAAACACAGCACUGUGCAAACACGAAAGUGGACGUAUACGGUGUGACGCCUGCCCGGUGCCGGAAGGUUAAUUGAUGGGGUUAUCCGUAAGGAGAAGCUCUUGAUCGAAGCCCCGGUAAACGGCGGCCGUAACUAUAACGGUCCUAAGGUAGCGAAAUUCCUUGUCGGGUAAGUUCCGACCUGCACGAAUGGCGUAAUGAUGGCCAGGCUGUCUCCACCCGAGACUCAGUGAAAUUGAACUCGCUGUGAAGAUGCAGUGUACCCGCGGCAAGACGGAAAGACCCCGUGAACCUUUACUAUAGCUUGACACUGAACAUUGAGCCUUGAUGUGUAGGAUAGGUGGGAGGCUUUGAAGCGUGGACGCCAGUCUGCGUGGAGCCAACCUUGAAAUACCACCCUUUAAUGUUUGAUGUUCUAACGUUGGCCCCUUACCGGGGUUGCGGACAGUGUCUGGUGGGUAGUUUGACUGGGGCGGUCUCCUCCCAAAGCGUAACGGAGGAGCACGAAGGUUAGCUAAUCCUGGUCGGACAUCAGGAGGUUAGUGCAAUGGCAUAAGCUAGCUUGACUGCGAGCGUGACGGCGCGAGCAGGUGCGAAAGCAGGUCAUAGUGAUCCGGUGGUUCUGAAUGGAAGGGCCAUCGCUCAACGGAUAAAAGGUACUCCGGGGAUAACAGGCUGAUACCGCCCAAGAGUUCAUAUCGACGGCGGUGUUUGGCACCUCGAUGUCGGCUCAUCACAUCCUGGGGCUGAAGUAGGUCCCAAGGGUAUGGCUGUUCGCCAUUUAAAGUGGUACGCGAGCUGGGUUUAGAACGUCGUGAGACAGUUCGGUCCCUAUCUGCCGUGGGCGCUGGAGAAUUGAGGGGGGCUGCUCCUAGUACGAGAGGACCGGAGUGGACGCAUCACUGGUGUUCGGGUUGUCAUGCCAAUGGCACUGCCCGGUAGCUAAAUGCGGAAGAGAUAAGUGCUGAAAGCAUCUAAGCACGAAACUUGCCCCGAGAUGAGUUCUCCCUGAGACUUUAAGUCUCCUGAAGGAACGUUGAAGACGACGACGUUGAUAGGCCGGGUGUGUAAGCGCAGCGAUGCGUUGAGCUAACCGGUACUAAUGAACCGUGAGGCUUAACCUUACAACGCCGAAG
This 2923-nucleotide ribosomal RNA is filed under the name Klebsiella pneumoniae. RNAcentral's name for it is "23S ribosomal RNA". It matches the Rfam family "Bacterial large subunit ribosomal RNA". RNAcentral also lists the same sequence under 1 other name. Lineage: Bacteria; Pseudomonadati; Pseudomonadota; Gammaproteobacteria; Enterobacterales; Enterobacteriaceae. The record is from RNAcentral.